This 283-nucleotide ribosomal RNA is filed under the name uncultured bacterium. RNAcentral's name for it is "partial 16S ribosomal RNA". It matches the Rfam family "Bacterial small subunit ribosomal RNA", at positions 123 to 406 of the family's 1533-position model. The record is from RNAcentral.
GACCUGCCCUCCACUCUGGGAUAAGCCUGGGAAACUGGGUCUAAUACCGGAUAUGACUUCAUGCCGCAUGGUGUGGGGUGGAAAGCUUUAUGUGGUGGGGGAUGGACCCGCGGCCUAUCAGCUUGUUGGUGGGGUAAUGGCCUACCAAGGCGACGACGGGUAGCCGGCCUGAGAGGGCGACCGGCCACACUGGGACUGAGACACGGCCCAGACUCCUACGGGAGGCAGCAGUGGGGAAUAUUGCACAAUGGGCGAAAGCCUGAUGCAGCGACGCCGCGUGAGG